UGUUAAUGAUGUUUAAUGCAUCUUUGUUUGGUGUUUCUGGAGUUAAUUCAGGCUAUAAAAGAUAAAAGAUUGCAGAGCAGCUCAUAAACACCAUCAUCUCCUGAUGAGCAGCGUCUUCAGUCUUCAGGCUGAGUCCCGUGUGUGCAGUGAAUGAAGAGCUCUUUAAACACGGCAGUGGAAACUUGUGAAACAUCUGUCAGUCUGUGUGUUAUUCCACACACUUCUGCUUUGACCUGCAGACCAAACACACAAUCCUGUCAGUAACUGCCUGUCAAGAUUCCAUGAAACAAUGGCAAAACUAAACGCCAGCAUCAACGGAUCAAGUGGAGGAGAUUAUGAAGAUGAAUGGAGUCA
Rhinichthys klamathensis goyatoka is the source of this 354-nucleotide long non-coding RNA. RefSeq lists it as uncharacterized. The record is from RefSeq and is a predicted model, not a curated record. NCBI's taxonomy places the organism in Eukaryota, Metazoa, Chordata, Actinopteri, Cypriniformes, Leuciscidae. The transcript is spliced from 3 exons.